Molecule: ribosomal RNA, 465 nt
Filed under: Vreelandella stevensii
Lineage: Bacteria; Pseudomonadati; Pseudomonadota; Gammaproteobacteria; Oceanospirillales; Halomonadaceae
Description: partial 16S ribosomal RNA
Rfam family: Bacterial small subunit ribosomal RNA
Source: RNAcentral
CCUACGGGAGGCAGCAGUGGGGAAUAUUGGACAAUGGGCGAAAGCCUGAUCCAGCCAUGCCGCGUGUGUGAAGAAGGCCUUCGGGUUGUAAAGCACUUUCAGUGGGGAAGAAAGCCUUGGGGCUAAUACCCUCGAGGAAGGACAUCACCCACAGAAGAAGCACCGGCUAACUCCGUGCCAGCAGCCGCGGUAAUACGGAGGGUGUGAGCGUUAAUCGGAAUUACUGGGCGUAAAGCGCGCGUAGGCGGUCUGAUAAGCCGGUUGUGAAAGCCCCGGGCUCAACCUGGGAACGGCAUCCGGAACUGUCAGGCUAGAGUGCAGGAGAGGAAGGUAGAAUUCCCGGUGUAGCGGUGAAAUGCGUAGAGAUCGGGAGGAAUACCAGUGGCGAAGGCGGCCUUCUGGACUGACACUGACGCUGAGGUGCGAAAGCGUGGGUAGCAAACAGGAGUAGAUACCCGGGUAGUC